RNAcentral lists this ribosomal RNA (468 nucleotides) under uncultured bacterium. Its description in RNAcentral is "partial 16S ribosomal RNA". It matches the Rfam family "Bacterial small subunit ribosomal RNA", at positions 28 to 507 of the family's 1533-position model. The record is from RNAcentral.
GACGAACGCUGGCGGCGUGCUUAACACAUGCAAGUCGAACGGACAGGCCCUGCUUUUGUGGGGUGCUCGAGUGGCGCACGGGUGUGUAACACGUGAGUAACCUGCCCCUGACUUUGUGAUAUCUUCAGGGAACUGGGGCUAAUACCGGAUAGGAGCUCCUGAUGCAUGGUGGUGGUUGGAAAGUUUCGGCGGUUGGGGAUGGACUCGCGGCUUAUCAGCUUGUUGGGGGGGUAGUGGCUUACGAAGGCUUUGACGGGUAGUCGGCCUGGGAGGGUGGCCAGGGACAAGGGGACUAAGGGAGGGCCCAGUCGGGAACGGGAGGCAGUGGGCGAAAAUAUGGCACAACGAGGGGGAGUGUGAUGUAGCGGCGCUGGGUGCGGAAUGACGUCCUACGGGGGAUGAACCGCUUUCGCCUGUGACGUAGCGGGAGUGACGGUAAUGGGUAAAGAAGCACCGGCUAACUACGUG